Chinchilla lanigera (long-tailed chinchilla) is the source of this 569-nucleotide long non-coding RNA. RefSeq lists it as uncharacterized. NCBI's taxonomy places the organism in Eukaryota, Metazoa, Chordata, Mammalia, Rodentia, Chinchillidae. The record is from RefSeq and is a predicted model, not a curated record. The transcript has 3 exons.
UGUCUUGCUCCUGGUCUGCAACCCCUGGCAAUUUCCGGAGCACUGGUGAGAGACCUUCGCACAAUUUCUGCUUGGAGUCCACCGACUUCCCGUCUCGGGUGGAGGUUUAUCUCUCGAUCAAGGUCUGGACAGCUACCUGUUAUAUUUGGCUCAUGCUAGCUGAAAAAAAGAAUUUACAGCCUGUGCUGCAGAAUAUCCCAGUUCUUCAAGGCCAAGGGUCCUGCUGCGUCUCCAUGGCUGUGUGGUUACUGGAAAGGAAAGUGGAUGGUGGAUUUCAGCUGUCUUUCCUCUAUGAAGCAUGUACGUGUUGGGGAGAAGAGCAGUGAAACCGCCCGUGAUCGUGAGCCACAGCCCUGCUGCUCCCUGGCGAAAUAUAGGGCCCCAGGACCUCUGCUUGUGGGGUGGGUACAUCCCACAGUGGUUUUGGUGCUGAAGAUGUCCAUUAUUUGCACCUCAUCAAUUAGGCUUGCACAACCAUUCUGAGUAAGUGAGAGGGGCUAGGGAUACAGCUGAGUGGCACAGCGCCUGCUUGGCAAGUGCAAGGUCCUGAGUUCAAUUCCUGGUUCAAU